AGUGAACGCUGGCGGUAGGCCUAACACAUGCAAGUCGAACGGCAGCACAGUAAGAGCUUGCUCUUACGGGUGUCGAGUGUCGGACGGGUGAGGAAUACAUCGGAAUCUACUUUUUCGUGGGGGAUAACGUAGGGUAACUUACGCUAAUACCGCAUACGACCUACUGGUGAAAGCAGGGGAUCUUCUGACCUUGCGCGAUUGAAUGAGCCUAUGUCGGAUUAGCUAGUUGGCGGGGUAAAGGCCCACCAAGGCGACGAUCCGUAGCUGGUCUGAGAGGAUGAACAGACACACUGGAACUGAGAAACGGUACAGACUCCUACGGGAGGCAGCAGUGGGGAAUAUUGGACAAUGGGCGAAAGCCUGAUCCAGCCAUACCGCGUGGGUGAAGAAGGACUUAGGGUUGUAAAGCCAUUUUGUUGGGAAAGAAAAGAAGCAGGUUAAUACCCCGCUGUUCUGACGGUACCCAAAGAAUAAGCACCGGCUAACUUCGUG
RNAcentral lists this ribosomal RNA (492 nucleotides) under uncultured bacterium. RNAcentral's name for it is "partial 16S ribosomal RNA". It matches the Rfam family "Bacterial small subunit ribosomal RNA", at positions 29 to 507 of the family's 1533-position model. The record is from RNAcentral.